AGCAGCCGCGGUAAUUCCAGCUCCAAUAGCGUAUAUUAAAGUUGUUGCAGUUAAAAAGCUCGUAGUUGAAUUUCGGGAUCAAUACGUCGGUCGUGCUUCGGUACGUACUGGCGUAAUUGAUUUCUCCCUUCUGACGAACCAUGAUGUCAUUAACUUGGUGUCAUGGGAAAUCAGGACUGUUACUUUGAAAAAUUAGAGUGUUUAAAGCAGGCUCACGCUUGAAUACAUUAGCAUGGAAUAAUGAAAUAGGACGUUCGAUCCUAUUUUGUUGGUUUUUAGGAUCAACGUAAUGAUUAAUAGGGAUAGUUGGGGGCAUUAGUAUUCAAUUGUCAGAGGUGAAAUUCUUGGAUUUAUUGAAGACUAACUACUGCGAAAGCAUUUGCCAAGGAUGUUUUCAUUAAUCAAGAACGAAAGUUAGGGGAUCGAAGACGAUCAGAUACCGUCGUAGUCUUAACCAUAAACUAUGCCGACUAGGGAUCGGAUGAUGUUAAUUUUUAAUGUACUCAUUCGGCGCCUUAAC
Molecule: unclassified non-coding RNA, 520 nt
Filed under: uncultured Glomus
Lineage: Eukaryota; Fungi; Glomeromycota; Glomeromycetes; Glomerales; Glomeraceae
Description: SSU rRNA
Rfam family: Eukaryotic small subunit ribosomal RNA
Source: RNAcentral